RNAcentral lists this ribosomal RNA (604 nucleotides) under Alloascoidea sp. Its description in RNAcentral is "LSU rRNA". It matches the Rfam family "Eukaryotic large subunit ribosomal RNA", at positions 44 to 657 of the family's 3401-position model. Lineage: Eukaryota; Fungi; Ascomycota; Alloascoideomycetes; Alloascoideales; Alloascoideaceae. The record is from RNAcentral.
CAAUAAGCGGAGGAAAAGAAACCAACAGGGAUUACCUUAGUAACGGCGAGUGAAGCGGUAAGAGCUCAAAUUUGGAAUCUGGCACCUUUGGUGUCCGAGUUGUAAUUUGAAGAUGGUAACUUUGGCUUUGGCCCUUGCCUAUGUUCCUUGGAACAGGACGUCACAGAGGGUGAGAAUCCCGUGCGGUGAGGUGACCCAUUGCUUUGUAAAGUACUGUCAACGAGUCGAGUUGUUUGGGAAUGCAGCUCUAAGUGGGUGGUAAAUUCCAUCUAAAGCUAAAUAUUUACGAGAGACCGAUAGCGAACAAGUACAGUGAUGGAAAGAUGAAAAGAACUUUGAAAAGAGAGUGAAAUAGUACGUGAAAUUGUUGAAAGGGAAGGGCAUUAGAUCAGACUUUGUUUUUAGUGAUCAACUAGCCUUUUUGGCUGGUGCACUCGCUAACUACUAGGUCAACAUCAGUUUGAACGGCAGGAUAAUAGUGAAGGAAUGUGGCUCUCCUCUUUGAGGCGAGUGUUAUAGCCUUUAUUGAUACUGCCUGUUYGGACUGAGGAACGCGGUUUAYACCAAGGAUGUUGACAUAAUGAUCUUAUGCCGCCCGUCUUGA